GACGAACGCUGGCGGCGUGCUUAACACAUGCAAGUCGAGCGGUAAGGCCCUUUCGGGGGUACGACGAGCGGCGAACGGGUGAGUAACACGUGGGUGACCUGCCCUCAGCUCUGGGAUAAGCCUGGGAAACCGGGGUCUAAUACCGGAUAUGACUCCAUGACGCAUGUUGUGGGGUGGAAAGCCUUGUGCGGCUGAGGAUGGGCCC
Molecule: ribosomal RNA, 205 nt
Filed under: uncultured bacterium
Lineage: Bacteria
Description: partial 16S ribosomal RNA
Rfam family: Bacterial small subunit ribosomal RNA
Source: RNAcentral